UGGGGAUUAUGUCCACUAAAUUUUUGUCCUGAUACCACUCUACGCACAGAAAAAGUCUACAAUAUAAAUGAUUAUAUGAAUAACAUAGUGUUUUUAAUCAAUUAAAUUACUCUUCUAAAAUUUACUAAUUUUAUUAUAUUUUUUAAAAAAUAUUAUUUUUAUAAUUUUCUAUAAAAAUAAAAAUAAAAAUAUAAAUAUAAUUGAUUGGAUAUAAAUAAUAGGGAAAACUUAAAAAAAAACCCUGUGGUUUCGCCCUUUUUCAUUUUAGUACCCUGUAGUUUAAAGUGAAUCAAGUUAGUAUCUUGUGGUUUAAAGUGAAUCAAGUUAGUACCAUGUGGUUUCUCACUUUAUCACUUUUGUACCCUGUGGUUUAAGGUGUAUCAAAUUAGUACUCUGUGAUUUUAUUUUUGUAUCAAGUUAGUACCCGGUGGUUUUAUUUUUUUAUCAAGUUAGUACCCUGUGAUUUUUAAAUCACAGGGUACUAAAGUGAUAAAGUGCGAAACCACAGGGUACUAACUUGAUACACUUUAAACCACAGGGUGCUAAAGUGAUAAAGUGAGAAAUCACAGGGUACUAAUUUGAUACACUUUAAACCUCCGGAUACUAAAAUAAAAAAAAAAUGAAACCACAAAAAGUAUUUAAUUUCUAAAUAAUAUAAUAAUAUAAUGUGACUGUCACAUAAUGAACC
RNAcentral lists this long non-coding RNA (688 nucleotides) under Ananas comosus (pineapple). Its description in RNAcentral is "long non-coding RNA (ACOM_LNC005984)". The record is from RNAcentral. Lineage: Eukaryota; Viridiplantae; Streptophyta; Magnoliopsida; Poales; Bromeliaceae.